GGAAGGUUUAAGUCUAUAAACUCCAACCCUUUGUGACCUUACCGUCGUUGCCUCGGCGUGCGCUGCGGCUGCGCGGGAGCGGCCUGCCCCGAGAGGGGCGGACGCCUACCCCGCAGCCGGCCGACAGCCCGCCAGUGGACCGUCAAAACUCUGUUUUUACCACUGCAUCUCUGAAUUAUCAAACUAAAAUAAGUUAAAACUUUCAACAACGGAUCUCUUGGUUCUGGCAUCGAUGAAGAACGCAGCGAAAUGCGAUAAGUAAUGUGAAUUGCAGAAUUCAGUGAAUCAUCGAAUCUUUGAACGCACAUUGCGCCCAUUAGUAUUCUAGUGGGCAUGCCUAUUCGAGCGUCAUUUCAACCCCUAAGCCCUGCUGCUUAGCGUUGGGAGCCUGCGGCCCGCGAGGUCGCAGCUCCCCAAAGUCAGUGGCGGAGUUAUAGCACACUCUAAGCGUAGUAAUCUCUUACCCCUCGCUUCUGCAGUGGCCGUAGCUGCCUGCCGUCAAACCCCCCCCAGAUUUAUCUAAUGGUUGACCUCGGAUUAGGUAGGAAUACCCGCUGAACUUAAGCAUAUCAAUAAGCGGAGGAA
This 585-nucleotide ribosomal RNA is filed under the name Annulohypoxylon sp. I12F-02260. RNAcentral's name for it is "eukaryotic LSU rRNA". The stretch from base 198 to 351 matches the Rfam family "5.8S ribosomal RNA". The record is from RNAcentral. Lineage: Eukaryota; Fungi; Ascomycota; Sordariomycetes; Xylariales; Hypoxylaceae.